Molecule: transfer RNA, 75 nt
Filed under: Candidatus Levybacteria bacterium RIFCSPHIGHO2_01_FULL_40_15b
Lineage: Bacteria; Candidatus Levyibacteriota
Description: tRNA-Pro
Rfam family: tRNA
About the family: Transfer RNA (tRNA) molecules are approximately 80 nucleotides in length. Their secondary structure includes four short double-helical elements and three loops (D, anti-codon, and T loops).
Source: RNAcentral
CGGAGUGUGGCGCAGGGGUAGCGCGCACCGUUCGGGACGGUGAGGUCGACGGUUCAAAUCCGUCCACUCCGACCA